AUCUCUUACUUGCUUGUGUACCUAUCCUCGUUGCAUCAUAUAGGUUGCUCACCUAGUUGCAUUUCUAGACAACCUAUUUUGAUGCAAAGUUUAACUUGUUAAAGAAAAGCUAAAAAUUGUUAGUUGCCUAUUCACCCCCCUCCCUCUAGUCAACCAUAUCGAUCCUUUCACUAAGCGACUGUGCCAUCUUUCAGCAGAAAGCUUGAUGGCACCAUAGACUUGUUUAUUAAACUUGCAGUACUGAGGAAGCAACGCAUAUAGCCCUUGAACACAGACACCCCUAUGGAGAACUUUCUUCGUGACUUGGUCCUUGAUCAAAAAGAAAUACGGGUGAAAUUCUAGAAAGACAUCAUUAUCAAGGGCAAUGCGAUGAACUGAAAGAAGAGUUUUGGAAGCCUCAGGAACAUGCAAGAUUUCUUUUAAGACAAGAUCUUUAUGUGGGGUUUUGAUAAUUGAAUGACCAAUACGACUAAUCUCCAUACCUGCACCAUUAGCUGCGGUGUAGAUUUGAUCAUGACCAUGAUAUUUGUCAUGCAUGGUCAGCUUCUCCAAUUCUCCAGUGAUAUGGUUUGUCGCACCUGUGUCCAUGUACCAGUUGGUGUCGACUCCAUAUGACCCAUCGGCUGCAGCUGCAACUUUCUUUUUCUGGGAAUUGUCAUCAGCGUAGCGCCAAUCACAAUCCUUAGCAAUAUGAUUUGUUUUCUUACAUAUUUGACACUUCCCUUCAUAGCCUUCAUAACCUUGGAAGUUGCGUCCCCUGUUGUUGUUGUUGUAAGGAGGGCGCCGGUUGUUGUUAGGAUGAUAGCCGCUGCCACCGCCCUGAUAGCCACCUCCCUGAUAGCCGCCACCACCAUGAUUCUGGUGAUAGCUGCCGCCACCGUUCUGGUAGCCGCCACUGCUGUUAUUGUAGACGCUGCCACCGCCACCUCCUUGGUAGCCGCCGCCGCCACCAGCUUGAACACCGCUGCCACCACUUCCACCGCGAGAGCCGCCACUGUUGCCCCCGUUUCUCUAAUUGCGGUAGCCCCCUCUGCCUCCCUGGCGACCGCGGGAAGCGGCAUUUGCCGAGGAUUUGAAGCCACCGUUGCCAUUGUCGUGGUACAACUCGACCCUCUGAUCGAAGUUGGCCACGAGGGAGAAGAGAUGGUCGACCGUGAUGGGCUCGGCGCGGACAUCCAGCGCUGAGAUGAGCGGCUGAUAUUCCAUGUCAAGGCCGGAUACAAUGAAGGAGAUGAGCUCCGACUCCCUGAUCGAUUUUCCUGCCGCCGCGAGCUCGUCGGAGAGAGAUCGCAUGUAGCCGAAGUAGGUUGAUGCAGAUUGUGUGCCCUUCUGGGCGUUGGUGAGGGCAGCACGCAGGUUGUUGACUCGGGAGAGCGAGACCGCCGCGAACAUGUUGGACAGGGCAGUCCAGAUCGCAUGCGACGUCUCCAACGACGCCACUUGAACGAGGACCUCCUUGGAGAGGUUCCGAAGGAGGUAGGCAACAAUUUGCUGGUCCUGAACCAGCCAUGGGGGGUAGGCAGGGUUUGGCAGCACCUGAUCCUUGCCCUCUUUAUCCUUUGCGACGAUGUUCUUGGGAGGCUCCUCUAUGGUUUUGUCGAUGUAGCCGUACAAGCCAGCGCCCAUUAUUUGGGAUCGGGCUUGAACUCGCCAGAGGAUAUAAUUCGUCCUAGUGAGAGGCUCAGAUAUGUUGUAGUUGAGGCCGGUGGAGGGAAUAGCAGCGGAGGUGGAGAUGGUUGCGAUGGGGAUGAUCGAUGGAGGUUGAUGAUGAUGAUCGGUCAAGGUGGAUAAGCUAGAUGUGAUGGGAAGAGCCUGCUCUGUAUACCAUGUAAGAUUUCUAUGAAGCGUCUCAGGUUCCCUGGAAGGGAGCCCUCGCUAUUAUAUUGAACGAUGAGGAAGAGUCCUCACGAUGGAUUACAAGGUAUUGGUCAUAGGAGGGAUAACAGAGAGAGAGAGAGAGAGAUACAAGAUAAACAUACAAAGAGAAUCUAUCUCUAUUAACUAAAAGUAGCGCCCAAGGCAGCCUGAAGAUCUCCCUGUGAAUCACGUUUCAACAUGUAAUUGUGGCUCUAAAUGCAAUACAAAUUCAAACAUGUUGCAUUGGUUGGUGUAAGUUCCCAAGUCAGAAGUAAGAUUACUAAUGAUAUGGAGCAGUAAUACUGCGAUUGCAAAUUAUGGGAUGAUAGUUACUGCAGAAUAUUUGUUUAUGAACGCUGAUGGGAAAGUGUACCGACAUGAGGUACUCCGUUCUGAAUAGGACAGACUCGGGAAGAGUCUAAUUAACAAGAGCAAGUAGUACUCCUUUUGGUUCUACAGUACGAUAGAUCUUUAUUUUCUGAUGUCGACAAGGUGGUUGAUGAAAAUUCAAACAGCUGCAACUGAGGAAAACCAGAGAAACAAAAACAGGUUAGGCAACAUCCAAGAAGCAAACUAAACGUUCAUGUAAUCUGUUGGCGAGAGCCUUAUUUAGGUGUGUAUUUCUCAUUGAACAAGCUAUCUUAAUAUUAAGUUUGUAUUGUUUCCUGGAGUAUUUUCUCGGCUAUAAUUUAUUGCAGUAUAAUUGAUUUUGGCCUAUUUUGUUUUACUCCAUCCAUUCACUAAUAUAUGUAUAUUUCAAUAUGGACUAUGUAUAAACUGAAAUGAGUGAACAAACACACCAAAAUGCGCUUAUAUACUUCUGAAUCAGAAAAAGGUUAAAGAUCUUAUAUUUGUGAACAGAGAGUAUUAUAUUCGUGCUUGCAGUUGCGACAAUGACAGAUUACCAAUGCCAUUUGUUUUCACAUUAAGGGGCUCUAUACGGUUGUUCACUUAUGAUUUCUUCUGUCAUGCACAAGCACAACCAAGAGCUAACCAUUUAAAUACUAUAUAGCCAUGUGUUAUAUUUUUAAUUUAAUCAAUUUGUAACCAUAAUUUGUCGCAGCAACGUGCGGGGUAUCUUCUAGUUACACUAAACUGCGGUCACGAGUGUGAGGUCUAAACAGUCUCACAUUAAAGGCCCCUGUACUAUGCCAUCUUUCUUGAACAUGAUCUUCUUGUUAGCGUUUUCAAGUCAGCAUGUGUCACCUAUAUACAGUAAACAAAAGAGCAGGAAAUCUAAGCACACAUAAUUAAAAAUUUAGUGCAAAUAUUUCUAAGAUAGGUUAUACAUGCCACACAGGUGACAUAAACUAUCCAGUUAAAUUAAUUAGGGAGCAAGUACUCUAGAAAUACUAUGAUUCCGGCCUCUACGUCAUAUCAUGUUGGUCAUGCUGUGAGUAGGUGCAACUCUGCCUCCUCCACAGAAAAUCAAUAAUACUACCCUUAGAUAUGAUGAUACUCGUUUAUAAAUAAGAAUUAAGGAGACAUGAGAGGCCAGUUGAUCGAGUUGCAAGUACAUACGAGCGUGAAAGAUGGAAUACAAAUGUGCUUGUUUUUAAUAAGGAUGCAGUUUAUUACUGUACCUUGACUCUAUGCUGAAAUUCAUAGCUAACUCAGCAGAAUAUUUUUCAUGACUUCAGUACUAUUAAACAAGUGGGUGGACAUAGGCAUCUAACUAUGUUCUCAUUAAAGCCGCAACCAUCCAAAGAUUCUGAAAAUGCAAAAUCAGGUUCCAAAAGGAAAUGUGAGCUUCGUCAUCCUAUAACAUGAACUUUGAUUACGCUUGGCACCGGGGCUUGUUCUGUUUCUUUGGGAUAUGGGUUGUCAGAGAUAGGUUUUCUACUUUGGUUUGCCCUCGGAAUUUUCUAUAUUCAGUAAGAGAUUAAUUGCUUUCUUAAUUACCAACUCUGGAUUGAGUUACUAAUAUCUUCCAUUAAUCUGAACUGCCCAGAAGUAUUACAUAUAUUAGUGCUGGAAUAACCGUUCUUGUCGUCAUUUGUUUUCUACCAUCUAUUGAUCUGCUUUGUGGAUAUACUCGAGUUAAUUUUUUUCCCACCAACUGAUAGUGACAUCAAUAUCAAUUAUUUGCAGUAGUAUUUUGUCAAGACUGUGGGUACUAUUUAAAGCGAUGUCAGAAUUAUUUAUAAUUAUAAGUUUAUAACUGAAAAUAGGGAACAUGCAUGAGCUUCAAGACCAUGGUUCGUACAGUAUUGAGUAAGAAUGUUUUUUAGUUUGAUGAGGAUAAAUUCAGUUUUAGUAUUUUUUUACAGUACUUGUAAAUUCCUGAGCAAAAGACAAGAAACACACAUUCAGGUGUGUGUUUGACAAAAGGAAAUUCCUGAGCUUAAGCCUUCAGAGUUGUUGAAAGUUGAAACUAUAUACUUUCUAUAUCUGUAGUGUCAUCAGGGUGCAGCUCAUGCUUCAAUAUAUGCGAACCUCCAAUUUUUUUAUGCGAAUCUAUUUGACUCACAUGCUUAAUGGUAUAGAUUUUACUCUGAAUACUGUGGGAGAUGUCAUUUCAAGAUUGAACUAGCCUACUUUCUUGUAAUCCAUGAUGAUCACAUCAUUGUAGCGUAUAGAAAGGGGCUGGUUCAUUUGUUCGUCCAGCAAUGACGUCAACUAGGACAAGUUUCAUGCAGACGGUGCCCCACUCUACCUUCCGGAGGUUUCCAUGCUAUGGAUUCACAACCAUGGGCGUAUCUCUUCCAUGUGCUGUAGAGCAGGUGGACGUGGAUUAGGGGCCAGACCGAGCUGGACGACCGGUGUUUUCGGAGACAGAGGAUAAGGCCAACGAUAGCAGCUACACAGUGGGGUCUGGCAGGAUCAAUAAGGUGACCCGCAGGGCUUGGAACAUCCGCGAGACAUGGCCGCACCAGGGGAGCGCGUCUUCGGAAAGAUGAAUACGCCAGGCCAAUAAUAUAGACCUAUUAGCAUUCUUCAAACUACUAUAUGUCUACUCUGCUUUAUAAAAGGAAACUCUUCUGCUGCACUUCUAUUUUAAUCAUUGUAUCUUAACUGCAAUGUUCGAAUAUUAACAAGUACAUCAGUAUAACUGAUGCACAAAGUGACGCAGAGGAGGCGCGCCCCAACCAUUAGUGUUGAGUAAGAGUGUAGGACAUGUGGUUCAGCUAGGUAGGUAUGUAGCUGAUAGAACUGAAGGAAAU
Triticum aestivum (bread wheat) is the source of this 5021-nucleotide long non-coding RNA. RefSeq lists it as uncharacterized. NCBI's taxonomy places the organism in Eukaryota, Viridiplantae, Streptophyta, Magnoliopsida, Poales, Poaceae. The record is from RefSeq and is a predicted model, not a curated record. The transcript has 6 exons.